CCCUGGCUCAGGAUGAACGCUGGCGGCGUGCCUAAUACAUGCAAGUCGAGCGAAUGGAUUAAGAGCUUGCUCUUAUGAAGUUAGCGGCGGACGGGUGAGUAACACGUGGGUAACCUACCCAUAAGACUGGGAUAACUCCGGGAAACCGGGGCUAAUACCGGAUAAUAUUUUGAACUGCAUAGUUCGAAAUUGAAAGGCGGCUUCGGCUGUCACUUAUGGAUGGACCCGCGUCGCAUUAGCUAGUUGGUGAGGUAACGGCUCACCAAGGCGACGAUGCGUAGCCGACCUGAGAGGGUGAUCGGCCACACUGGGACUGAGACACGGCCCAGACUCCUACGGGAGGCAGCAGUAGGGAAUCUUCCGCAAUGGACGAAAGUCUGACGGAGCAACGCCGCGUGAGUGAUGAAGGCUUUCGGGUCGUAAAACUCUGUUGUUAGGGAAGAACAAGUGCUAGUUGAAUAAGCUGGCACCUUGACGGUACCUAACCAGAAAGCCACGGCUAA
Molecule: ribosomal RNA, 503 nt
Filed under: Bacillaceae bacterium CL7.10
Lineage: Bacteria; Bacillati; Bacillota; Bacilli; Caryophanales; Bacillaceae
Description: bacterial SSU rRNA
Rfam family: Bacterial small subunit ribosomal RNA
Source: RNAcentral